UGGUGCCCGAACAGCGAAGGACCUGAUGGAAGAUUGAUUUGGGAGCGGACGGACAAGAGCACCGGCAUCGCAGCGGCUGAGCCGGGGGGCGGCAUCGCCUAGACCGACCAAAAGGGGUCUGCACGGGAUCUGGAGGGCACGGAACAGAGCUCCGUUGACAGUGGGCGCUGCGUGCGGUGAGACGCGGAUUGCAGUGCACCAUGGAAAGUGAGAUAAUGGAAGGGCUUAAACAAAUUCGACAAGGAAGACUUUCUUCCGACUAUUCCCCAUCUCCCUCCCUCCCAUCCCCCGCCGCUGCCGCUCCGCGCAGCAAGCAGCCCUGGUCCGUAUUCGAUCCGCGGCUCCGACCCCGCCCCCGACCGUGGGGAAGAGAAAUCCCGACCCCCCCCAUCGCCGCUGCCCUCGGUUCCGCCCCCGGCGCUCAUCCCGCUCCCGCCCUCCGCUCCGCCCCUGACGCUCGCCGCGCCGCUCCCACCCUCUGACCCGCCGAGGAAGCUCAUCAGUACUUGCUAUAACCUUGCAUCAUUCAGAUGAUGACCCUAUUUGGAUUCCUGCUCGCAGUGUUCACCCUUGGCGCAGAAGCACUACCUGAACCACACCAAAUCAACCCGCGGCAACACAUGUGGGUCACCUGCGCUAAAUCAGCAGGCCGGACCAACUUCUGCUUAGCGCUUGCUUCUGCCACUGAUCCCUUCCAAACUUGUUUUGAAAGGAUGCUGUUUUUCAAUGAUUCUAACUUUUCUGCUUACUCCACAGGACAUGCAUGACAUCCGCUCUAAACACACGGGUAGCUUUAGUUGUCCUUAUCCCAGGGGCUGUUGCUGGGAAUAAGUAUUAUAACUAUUAGUAUAGUAUAUUUAUUGGUACUGUAAAAUGUUUACUUAGGGGAAAAAAAA
Meleagris gallopavo (turkey) is the source of this 896-nucleotide non-coding RNA. The record is from RefSeq and is a predicted model, not a curated record. Lineage: Eukaryota; Metazoa; Chordata; Aves; Galliformes; Phasianidae.